RNAcentral lists this small RNA (538 nucleotides) under Pan troglodytes (chimpanzee). RNAcentral's name for it is "processed transcript". The record is from RNAcentral. Lineage: Eukaryota; Metazoa; Chordata; Mammalia; Primates; Hominidae.
GAGUUCUCAUGAAUGUUAUGCUGUGUGUGGCAGAGAAAGAAAGCUGUUGAUGGGAGAGAAUUACACAAUCUGUUUUUCCAUUUGAAUGAAACAUCAUGAACGUUGCGAUUUUGUUAAAUGACAGUCGACCGGCCCAAGGACUGGUACAAGACGAUGUUUAAGCAAAUUCACAUGGUGCACAAGCCGGAUGAUGACACAGACAUGUAUAAUACUCCUUAUACAUACAAUGCAGGUCUGUACAACCCACCCUACAGUGCUCAGUCACACCCUGCUGCAAAGACCCAAACCUACAGACCUCUUUCCAAAAGCCACUCUGACAACAGCCCCAAUGCCUUUAAGGAUGUGUCCUCCCCAGUGCCUCCCCCACAUGUUCCACCUCCAGUCCCACCGCUUCGACCAAGAGAUCGGUCUUCAACAGAAAAGCAUGACUGGGAUCCUCCAGACAGAAAAGUGGACACAAGAAAAUUUCGGUCUGAGCCAAGGAGUAUUUUUGAAUAUGAACCUGGCAAGUCAUCAAUUCUUCAGCAUGAAAGACCAG